GGUGGUUCUAUAUCAUCGAGCCGCGCGACGCCAACUAGGUGGCGGCCCCCAAAUUCAGAUCUGGAUUCCCGAUGCGGCUCACUUCCUGGCAAGAGAGGGGCCUAACCCGGGGUCCCUCGGACGAACUAACUGGGAUCCAGACGUGUGUUCAGAAUAUGAUGGAUAGGAAGAUCAAGAUCGUCAAUGUGGUCCAAGUCAUGCUCAUUCGUCGGGUUCUUCUGUGCCAAUGCCAGACUUGCUAUCUGUGGGAGUACGAUCCGGCCAAGCACCAGACGCUACAAGAGCUCUUCGGCACAACGCACGAAGAAAUCUGGAAAGUGAUCUUCAAGGCCGGCGAGGCGCCACCACCCACGACCGAAGAUUGCGGGCUUAGCUUAAAAUGCCAGGCUAACCCGGCCUGGAUCAAGAUAGCGGAGGGGAUUAACAGUCCAGCUCCGCUACCCGAAGACCAAGAAUUCCCAUUGUUGACGAAAAUGCUCUUUCCAGCACCUUAUGAGGUGCCGAAGAAAACGGCCAAGAAAGCGGCCAAAGGGGCCAAGAAGGGCCUUCGCCGAAAAGGCGCUCCGGACAUGAUGUCCGAAGACAAGACUUCCUCUUCGUCCGUCGACGACGAUGAUGAAGAGGAAGAAGAAAGAGAAUCCCCACCUGAAGUGGGGAGGAAGAAGAGAGCGACUCCCCACCUGAAGUGGGGAGGAAGAAGAGAGCGGCCUCCAAAAAUCCGGAGGUGAAAGCGCCUAAAAGGGUUAGAGGUUCCCAUGCGGAUAACUCUGUGUGUGACGUGGACAGCAGCCCGGAGCGACCUCGCGGACCAAGCCUCAAGCUGCCUCGUAAGUACCAGGAUCCGAAAACAUCUAGCUUUCCCGGUUUGUAAUAUUGAUAUACCUUAAACCUUGUUAUUGCAGUCUAACGCGCAAUGGCUCCCCGCGAUCUUCGUCCGAGGGAUCACUAGACUCAAAGGAGAUGGCUAGCAUGUCUCCGCCACCUGCUCAUUCCAUCUCUCCCAAGGGUGACGACGAGGUGGUAUCGCAAAAGACCUUCCCCGACCAGGGGGGCUUCCAGAGAUCGUCGGGGCGGUGCCCUAGGACGAUUCCUCAAUUGUCGGACGCAUGGGGGAAAAAGGCCCUACGAGGACCGGCGACGGGGGCCGGGUUCCCUUAGGACCUGAGCCGGGUACCAUUUCGGAGACCUAUGCGGCUCCGGAGUCCAGUGAAUGGCAUGCUCCGAGAGGAGGGAGUGUGCCUGUUCCGCUGGUGACCUCUAUCCAACUAGAGGCACUGGAUAACCUGUUGGAGGUGCUACGAGGCACCUCUAUUGUGGAUGCACACCGCACCCUUAUGGGCACGGUAAUAGAGAAGGUCCAGCUCGUGAAAAGCGGACUGACCAAAGCCUACACUAGCCUUCUGUCAGGCUUUGAGGUAAGUAAUGCGUUUGUAGGAAGAAUAUCACAGUAUAGGCAGUAGCCCCUGAUGCUCUAUUUGGUGUUCGGAAAGAAGAAGCCUAACAGAGGAUCGAAAAGAAAAAUCGCAGGAGUCUAACAUAAGUUGUCUUUGUGAAUAAGCAGGUGUCGCUGCAGGUUGCCACCGCUCAUGCUGUAGAGGUCUCCGGACCGAAGCGGAAACUGGAGCGGGUCAAGGAAGAGCUCGGCCUCGUAAAGAAGCAGCUAGAGGAUAGCCAAGGGGCGACGACCGAGGUGGCAGCCCUCAAGAAGGCGUUGGCCGAGGCCGAGGACAAAGCGUCCAAGGAGUGUGCCGUGCAUGAGAAGCAUGAGGCCCAGGUCGGCGAGGCGCAGCAACAGCUCCAGGAUGCGAUCAAGAGAUUUGAGUCCUUGGAGCGUGAUUGUAAGGCGCAAGAGUACGAACUAGCGACAGCCCACCAGAGCGCACAUGAUGCAUGAGCCGAAGCCCAGAACACCCUCCAGGAAAUUCAGGCGGCCAAGGAAAUUGCGGCGGGUAAUUCUUUCACCAUGCAAAGCAAGUAUGUAAAAGAAACGUUCCAUGUACUUAUCCGAAUUCGGGUUUUCCCGGGGCGUUUGCGGAUCUGCCGCACAGUAUAUCGGAUGCUGCCGAGCAUUACAGAGCCGAAGAAAGGAUGUCUACGGAGAAGCUAUUCUGGUCCUAGUAUCUUGGACCCAAACAUCCGUUGCCCUUCAUCGACCAGCUGAAGCAGUUGGUCGAGCUGCACAAGUCGGCAGAGCUAGCCAUGAAGGACCUGAUAGUCCGACUGUGGCGUGCCAAGCCUGUACCUAGCAGCUAUUCCGGACUUGUUAAGUGGCUUGUAAAUGCAUGUCUGCGGCUCAAAACCGUGAAACGGUCGGUCUGCAUUGAAGGUGCACGUAUGGCCUUUGCCCGCGUCAAGACGCAUUGGGCAAAGCUGGAUGCUAAGAAGCUAAUGACCGAGGGGCCGCCGGAGGGCAAAGAGCAUUGUCGACCCGAG
Molecule: long non-coding RNA, 2433 nt
Organism: Triticum aestivum (bread wheat)
Lineage: Eukaryota; Viridiplantae; Streptophyta; Magnoliopsida; Poales; Poaceae
Exons: 3
Source: RefSeq, a predicted model, not a curated record